CAUUAUGAACGUUUAUAAUUGUAUUGUUGAUUUGGUCUUUAGGCCUUUCCCCCUUAAAUUGAUUUAAACCUAUAUGAAUAUGUAUGAUGUUGAGGAUUUGAUUGAGAGCAUUAUAAUUGAAAUCCCUCUCUUUGAUUAUUUAGAGUUGAUGAUCUUGUUGGGAAUGAUUUAAAAUGCUUGUUUAAUGUUUUGAAGGGGAUCUUUACAAUAUUUAAGUAUUUAGCAUGAUUUUGAUGAUGAUGAAAGGGAGUUUCUUGGUAUGAUUUCGUUCUCGUCAUAAAAAAGAAAUAAUUGCAUGUGUUGACAUUUUUGACAUGACCACCUUGUGUAUUUGAAUGUUGAAAAAGAGAGGUUCUUGCAUAUGUUGAUGUAAUACCCUGGGAAAUUUUUCAUUGAAAUUUUAUGCGUAAACGUAUUCGGUUCUAUCUUCUAGAAUGAAUUAUAAAUUUUUCGUGUGGAAUGUCUUUGAUUAUGACCCACCAUUACGUAGAGUAUCGAAUAAGCUUUCCAAUGAUAUGUGGAUCAUCCAAAACGAACACCCGAGCGACGAGUUAUGAACACUCCGAUCGAACCGUGAAUAGAAGUG
This 586-nucleotide long non-coding RNA is filed under the name Capsicum annuum. RNAcentral's name for it is "long non-coding RNA (CANN_LNC019867)". Lineage: Eukaryota; Viridiplantae; Streptophyta; Magnoliopsida; Solanales; Solanaceae. The record is from RNAcentral.